AUGAGGAAAGGCACUCUCGCCCUCGUCCUCCUCCUCACCUUUGCUUCCCAUGGCGUAUGGUGUGCAGCAGCGGCGAGAAGCGCCAUGGCCGAGGAGGAUGCAGCUCAUCAUCAUCUGAGGCCUCAUCAACAUGAAACCCAAGGGGAGAGGAUACAGACUCCCAGGAAGGUCGGGCGCAUGGCAGGCGGCUCUGGAGAGGGCAGCGGUAGGAACACCGGUGGUGGCGCCGCAGACACAGGGCCGCACAACACCAAGAACGGCGGUACUGUGGCACUGCCGGCUGCGGCAACCUCUGCUUUGGCGCCGGUUUUCACAGCCACUGUCCUUCUCUCGGUGCUCAACUUGUAG
RNAcentral lists this ribosomal RNA (348 nucleotides) under Triticum aestivum (bread wheat). Its description in RNAcentral is "partial small subunit ribosomal RNA". Lineage: Eukaryota; Viridiplantae; Streptophyta; Magnoliopsida; Poales; Poaceae. The record is from RNAcentral.